CACUCUGAUGCAGCCAUGCCGCGUGCAGGAAGACGGCCCUAUGGGUGGUAAACUGCUUUUAUGAUGAGGAAGAAACCUUUUCACGUGUGAGAAGCUGACGGUACUAUAAGAAUAAGGACCGGCUAACUCCGUGCCAGCAGCCGCGGUAAUACGGAGGGUCCGAGCGUUAUCCGGAAUCAUUGGGUUUAAAGGGUCCGUAGGCGGGAAUCUAAGUCAGUGGUGAAAUCUUGCAGCUCAACUGUAAAAUUGCCAUUGAUACUGGAUUUCUUGAAUUAGUGUGAAGUGAUUAGAAUGUGUAGUGUAGCGGUGAAAUGCAUAGAUAUUACACAGAAUACCAAUUGCGAAGGCAGAUCACUAACACUAUAUUGACGCUGAGGGACGAAAGCGUGGGGAGCGAAC
This 399-nucleotide ribosomal RNA is filed under the name uncultured Bacteroidota bacterium. RNAcentral describes it as "bacterial SSU rRNA". It matches the Rfam family "Bacterial small subunit ribosomal RNA", at positions 379 to 773 of the family's 1533-position model. The record is from RNAcentral. Lineage: Bacteria; Pseudomonadati; Bacteroidota.